GUUGGAACUAGAUGAUCUUUUAGGUCCCUUCCAAUCCAACUGCUCUCUGAUUCUAUGAAUAAUGCACAAUAGAUGAACCACAUUGCUGGGUCUCAAAAUUCCUUACACACAAGUAAUCUUAAGUGUUCUAUGCAACCCCGAAAAGUCAUUAGCAUCGUCAGAUGUUGAACAUGGUUGAAAAAUGAUGUAGAGGGUGCAAAAAAAAAAAAAAAAUCAGCGUAGUUUCCAUUACAUGGAUGGGCAUGGCUGGGAUUGCAGCAAAUUUAACCCUUUCGUAUAAUCACCAGACAUAAGAUUUCCUAUUUUAAACAAUAAAAUUUCACUCCCAUUGUAAAGCCCGAUAGUUUACCAAAUAGUAGUCCUUCCCACAAGCAGAAGCUAGAAAGCAGGAACAGGUAGUCUGUGAUACAUGACAUAUGCUCAAAGGCAUUUAAUGUCUUGUCAUUUAGCCACAAUGGCCUCCCCAUGCCUGGAAGUGCUUUGUAUCAAUAACCUCAAUCCUUGUGCUGUCUCUGCAGAUGAAGCUGUGAGUGGAGUUUACUUGGAGUGGCAGAGCUGGGCAGCUUCACUGCUGCAGACCCACACUCAGGCAGCACCCACUCCACAAAGAUGCCUGUGGCAGUUUGCAAAAACAGUCUCCCCUCCAGAGAAGUGAUGCUGCUCUGAGCAUGACCCCUCUUGCCUGCUGACUGACUGCAUGCACCGGUGCAAUGCCAAUACCUGGAGCAAAUCAGAGAAAAUCCUUGUAUGAGUCUGCUGGCCAAAUUCAUGUUCAUGGCUUUUCAUACAGGCUGUGGUAUUUUUCCAGCAGCAGCACUGAGAUUUUUGAAGAGGAUAUUCAAUGAUCUUCAGUCACACCUGGACAUUCUCCUCUCUGCCAGCAGCCGUCUUCUUCAAGGUGGAGCUGGUGGAAUAUGGAAAACUGUUUUGAUUGAGAAGAAGUGACGGAACGAAGCUAUUGGGUGCUGUGAAGGUAACUGGGGUGGCCCUGAGAGUGCCAACAUGUGUUGGCAGCCUUGGGGUUAGUGAGCUGAACUCCAUCCUCCUUUCACAGACAAGGAGGAAUCCCAGCCAUCUGUAGGCUGCAGAAAACCUUGCUCUCUGACAGGACAUUGAAGGCAGCCCUAAAAACUUGUUUUCUAAUAUUCUCGAUUUGGUGCAUAUUUAGAGAGAUGAAUCACACAUAUUUUAAAUCAAAAUAAAACAUUUAUUUGAUGUUGCUUUUUAAUUGUAUUUGAAUUGCAAAAUGCCCCAUGAUGUGCUUUGUUAAGAAUACUGUGUAUUAGUAUUAAUAUUGUUGUUAGAAGCAAUAACGAUCAAAGCUUGUUUCUCAAAAUAGUGAUGCAUACUAAGUUAUUCAAACACAAACACAAAAUAGCACAUGUAGAUACAUGCUCAGACUGCAGUGUGUGAUAUUACUUGCCUCUGACAUUUCCAGAAAGACACAAGCAAAAUAUGAAUGGUAGCUGUGAAACCCUUACAACUUUAUGAUGCAUCGGGAAAGAGCAGAAAUAUAAAUGCACUCACAAAAGUUUACAUUUCAGAGAAAAUUGAAAUAAAGUAAUUUACAAUCCUCCAGCUUUGCAAGGUGGGGAAAGAUCACACACACACACAUAUAUAUGAGAAUUACAAAAUAUAUAUGAGCCCUUCUAGUGGGAUGUAGAGCAAGAAAAGACUCAUGAGGAUCAAUAUUCUAUGCGAGCAAAUUGACGCAUAUGAAAAGAGAAGUUGCUCAUUUUCAGGUCCCUAUGGGAACAAGUUUUAGAUUAUUAUAUGACAAAAAGACCUUUUAGGAUCUAUGAAAACACACUCCAAAAUGUCAAAUGCAUAGAAGCCAGCUUCACCUGUAAUGAUAAAAGCAGCACAUCCUGUAACCUUUCUAGAAACAGAUUUACUAAACACAUUAGCUGAAUUUUACAGCACUGUAAAUGUCUAUUGUACUGUACUGGUAGGGAGGUCUGCUGAACAAAUACUGGUGUCAUGCUAUAUGUCAGAAUGCUGUAGGAUGCUUCGGGAUUUCCUAUGGAAAGAAACUUAUAGGCAGGGUACAUUUGGAGGAUCCCAGAGGGGACAGCCUCAGGGAGGGGGAAUUAUAAAGGCAGGCUGACCAGAAUUUCUUAACUGGGAGGUUCUUGCAAACUGCUAUUUUAAAACAGUAUGCAAAUGCUUCUACCCAGAACAGCCCCUGCUUUGGGUGCAGGAGAAAUGUACAUGUUUGUCUCCGCCCCUCAGCAGUGGAAGGCGAUGAGGGUGGAAUCCAGGUCAUCACAGCCUCUGCUUCGAAGGCCACCAGCUACCACCAUGGGCUUCUUCACGGGUCUGCUUUCCCAGCCCUUGAUUUGGGGCUUUCAAGUGAAAAAAGGUGGAGUGGUGACUGGUUUGCAGGCUCCCAGGCAAGAUAGUGGGCAUGGCUCAGGCACAGCAGAAGCAGGUUCCUGCACCAUGUUCUUGUCAGAUAAUGUCUCUCAAUUUAGCAAUAUAGCAUUGUCCUAUUUCGACUGGCAAACUGGGCAGCAGUUCAUUGGAGGGCUUAAAACCAGCAGGUUUUGGCUUAGAUUGCUACAUGAUCUAUCAAGUCAACUAUCCAGAAUACCAUGUCAUAUGUUUUAUGAAGAAAGAUUAAAGCUUUAAAAAAAUAGAUUGUCACUUGAUGUGAAAAGGGUUCCUAUACUCAGUGUGCACAACACAGGCACGUUAAGCAGAGAGUAUACUUAAACAGAUUAUACUUAUACAGACUCUGAAGACAGAGUUCUGGAUUACACUGGUAACCUUCCUUUUAGACAUGCCUGAACAACUGACAUAGGUUGGCAUAUAAACAUAUACACAAACGGAAGUGAACCGUGGGGAUAUCUGACCAUAGGUGUAGCUCUGGAAAAUCCCAAGCCAUAUCCCCUAAGCAAGUUUAAAAUUUCUAAACAAGAACACAAGUAAACGUAGUUGUAGACAGAAGGAGCUACAGUUUGUUGGCUUUGCUAAGAUGUUAUGAAGCUAUGGUGCCCAGCACUGCUGGAUUACACCCCACAGCUUCCCCACCACAGAAGCAAGCUGAAAUUAAUGGUUACAUUAGGUGUAGGAUGGAUCUGCGUUUCUGUGUGUAGAAAAUGCAGACAUGUAGGUUACAUUACAGAGUGAUAAGCAGCCAAUCUAUAUGGUUGUAUCUAUUUUUUUAACUUUUAUUUUUCUUCCUAUAACAAAUCUUGUUUUUCCUGUCUUACGAACAGCUAGCAGCUUCUGUUUCUUGCCUCAGUGUUUAUACAAAUCAGAGGAGGAACAAAUUUAACACGGCUUUAGCUUUAUUAGUUCAGGUUUCAGACUGAGAUAUCUUGUGUCAUUAAGACUGUCCAGCUUGUUUCAGCAUAGUUCUUUCUGAGUUCAUACCCAUGUGAUGCCAAGCUAAUGUGCAACUGCAGAUAUGCCACUUGCUUUUGUUCUUCUCUGUUCACUGGUACUGGAAAAGUGUUUAGCGUGAGGGCAAGAAAACAAAACAAACCUGUCUGACCAUUCGGAAACUUUCUAGUUGUGAAUACAGCUGCCAAUUCUGACACAGCCAGGGAGAAAGACGACUUCAAAAUGUGUUAUGUCUGGCUGGGAUGAGAGCCAGAUUAUUAACAGGAUGACUUGUUUUGUGAGAGUAAGGGAAAAAUUCAAUACUACCUAUGCUUUCCAGCCCCUCUCUCAGUUCUGAUGCCUGGAGUCUUUGAACUGAUAUUUGAUUACUUAUGAAUGUACAAUAACCAAACAGUGGCACUAAAUUGAGAGACAUUAUCUUCCCAGUUGACACAGAGGGGCCACACAGUCCGUUUCUCCAUUUGUUUUUUUUUAAUACACUUGAAUGACAAGCUGCUGAUAAAAAUAAAUACUUUGUGACAAGGGAAGAAAUAUGACUUGAGGGUGUCAGUGUUGGAAUGAGUAUCACAGAAGUCUCCAUCACAGCUGUUAAAUGUGGAGUGGCAUCAAAAACUGCACAGCUCAAUAAAUGGCCAUUAUACAGCCUAUAUCUAUAAUCAGGGCACCCUAUCUGUAGUCUUAUAGCUCUGUGCAUAUAUGAGGGCAAAAUAUUUCUAAUAUCUGAAAUUUGCUUCACCUAAGCCUUGGCUUUCAGACAACAAUGGUUUAUUUCAAAUUGGAUGUCUUCCUAAAUCAGUUUUCUUCUUAUCUUUGUCGGAUUAUUUUCACACUGUGUAUCUAACAGUCCAUUAUUAAGCCAUACUUUCCAGUUUUUUUUUGGUUUUGAAUUAAUUUCAUGUAGGAAAUGAGAGUUAAAAAAAUUCUAAUUUUCUAUGAGUAUUCUGUAAAUGGGUAAGUGUAUGUGUGACAGUAUGAGAGCAGGCAUGGCACCACAAUUCAAAAAAAAUGCAAGGUGACAGAAUUUGCCUUCUAUACACUAUUAAAUUUUCAUUUUAUAAAACAGUACGUAGUAAUGACACUUCCUUUCUAUAAAUAUCCAAGAAUUAAUUUCUUUCCUUCAGUGGAAAACUAUGAAUUCCUACUAAUGUGUAACAUUUUCGGCUCCGCUUUUUGUCCAUAUUAUUCCUUCCAUCUUUAACAGCUCCCUGGCCCCAAAUCCUGAACUUCCUUCACAGUUUGUGUUUGUUUUGAAAAUACUUCCUCUUUGGUCUGAUGAAUUACUUUUUAUAAAUGUCUUAGCUUUUUACUCCUCCACUCUUUUGCAUUCUGUGGCUUUAAUUUUUAACGAAGAUUUAUUGAUAGUUUUCAGGGGUUUUAGAAAUGGCAUUUUUACAAGAAUUUGAAGAGACAUGUAUGGGAUUUGCAUUAUUAAUGCUGUUUUUAUCAUUAUUAUUAAUACUACCUGUUCGCUGGUAUACAUUUUUUCAUUUGAAUCAUCAACUUACAAAACACUAAAAACACAUUGCAAUGCAUGAGUGGCAAGAAAGUUAGCCUAGCCUCAUUCAUAGCCAAUGUAUCUUUAGGGCCUUAAGCUUUCUCUUUUUAAAGUUACAUGUGGAAAGAAAUAUCACCUACAAUUUAGAUCUUCUUUAAAUGAAAGCUGAUAUUCCAGAUGUGGAAUUAAAGUUUGUAAUCUUAUAUUGGAUGCUGAAAUUUCAGAGAGUUGACGCUGUGAGUUGUGGUAACCAAAGGACACGCUGUGGAGUGAUAAAUACCUUCAGUGGAAACCCAUUAGAAAUAAAACCAAGAAAUAUAAACAGAAA
This is a long non-coding RNA of Strigops habroptila (Kakapo), 5171 nucleotides long. RefSeq lists it as uncharacterized. The record is from RefSeq and is a predicted model, not a curated record. NCBI's taxonomy places the organism in Eukaryota, Metazoa, Chordata, Aves, Psittaciformes, Psittacidae. The transcript has 2 exons.